Molecule: ribosomal RNA, 314 nt
Filed under: uncultured eukaryote
Lineage: Eukaryota
Description: partial 18S ribosomal RNA
Rfam family: Eukaryotic small subunit ribosomal RNA
Source: RNAcentral
CCCUUAGAUGUUCUGGGCCGCACGCGCGCUACACUGACGAAUGCAACGAGCUUAUAACCUUGGCCGAAAGGUCUGGGUAAUCUCCAAAUUUCGUCGUGAUGGGGAUAGAUUAUUGCAAUUAUUAAUCUUCAACGAGGAAUGCCUAGUAAGCGCAAGUCAUCAGCUUGCGUUGAUUACGUCCCUGCCCUUUGUACACACCGCCCGUCGCUCCUACCGAUUGAAUGGUCCGGUGAAGCGUUCGGAUUGGCGCGCACCUCGGUGCCGCCGAGAAGUUGGCUAAACCUUACCAUUUAGAGGAAGGUGAANUCGUAACA